GCAUAUCAAUAAGCGCAGGAAAAGAAACCAACAGGGAUUGCCUCAGUAACGGCGAAGUGAAGCGGCAACAGCUCAAAUUUGAAAUCUGGCCUCUUGGGGUCCGAGUUGUAAUUUGUAGAGGAUGUUUCGGGUACCGCCUCGGUUUAAAUUUCUUGGAACAGAAUGUCAAAGAGGGUGAGAAUCCCGUCUUGGACCGGCGGUAGGGCCUAUGUGAAACUCCUUCGACGAGUCGAGUUGUUUGGGAAUGCAGCUCAAAAUGGGUGGUAAAUUUCAUCUAAAGCUAAAUAUUGGCCAGAGACCGAUAGCGCACAAGUAGAGUGAUCGAAAGAUGAAAAGCACUUUGAAAAGAGAGUUAAACAGUAUGUGAAAUUGUUGAAAGGGAAGCGCUUGCAACCAGACUUGAGCGCGGCGGUUGCUUCUGCUUGGGUUACUCCGCCGUGUCCAGGCCAACAUCGGUUCUGGGGGUCGGUCAAAGGCUCUGGGAAUGUAUCUACCCACGGGUAGACUUAUAGACCAGGGUGUCAUGCGACCUCCCGGGACCGAGGAACGCGCUUCGGCUCGGAUGUUGGCGUAAUGGUUGUCAGCGACCCGUCUUGAAACACGGACCAAGGAGUCUAACAUCUAUGCGAGUGUUUGGGUGUCAAACCCGGAACGCGGAAUGAAAGUGAACGGAGGUAGGAAGCUUCGGCUGCACUAUCGACCGAUCCUGAAGUUUACGGAUGGAUUUGAGUAAGAGCAUAGCUGUUGGGACCCGAAAGAUGGUGAACUAUGCCUGAAUAGGGUGAAGCCAGAGGAAACUCUGGUGGAGGCUCGCAGCGGUUCUGACGUGCAAAUCGAUCGUCAAAUUUGGGU
This 852-nucleotide ribosomal RNA is filed under the name Fonsecaea pedrosoi. Its description in RNAcentral is "LSU rRNA". It matches the Rfam family "Eukaryotic large subunit ribosomal RNA", at positions 38 to 916 of the family's 3401-position model. The record is from RNAcentral. Lineage: Eukaryota; Fungi; Ascomycota; Eurotiomycetes; Chaetothyriales; Herpotrichiellaceae.